Long non-coding RNA from Thalassophryne amazonica, 156 nucleotides. RefSeq lists it as uncharacterized. NCBI's taxonomy places the organism in Eukaryota, Metazoa, Chordata, Actinopteri, Batrachoidiformes, Batrachoididae. The record is from RefSeq and is a predicted model, not a curated record. The transcript has 3 exons.
CGUAUAGAAUGCUUGGUCUACAAAGUAAUGGUCAAAGAAGGUCAAAGGCCAUUGCAUUGUAUGAUAUAUGUUAUCCUGUAAUGUGAUAACUCAGUACAACAGAUGGUGCAAACUAUACCUUUUUAAGACUCCAUUAACUCAAACAAUAAAUUACAU